GAUGAAGAACGCAGCGAAAUGCGAUACGUAAUGUGAAUUGCAAAUUCAGUGAAUCAUCGAAUCUUUGAACGCACAUUGCGCCCGCCAGUAUUCUGGCGGGCAUGCCUGUUCGAGCGUCAUUUCAACCAUCAAGCCCCCGGCUUGUGUUGGGGACCUGCGGCUGCCGCAGGCCCUGAAAAGCAGUGGCGGGCUCGCUGUCACACCGAGCGUAGUAGCAUACAUCUCGCUCUGGGCGUGCUGCGGGUUCCGGCCGUUAAACCACCUUCAUAACCCAAGGUUGACCUCGGAUCAGGUAGGAAGACCCGCUGAACUUAAGCAUAUCAAUAAGCGGAGGA
This 335-nucleotide unclassified non-coding RNA is filed under the name soil metagenome. Its description in RNAcentral is "partial contains 5.8S ribosomal RNA, internal transcribed spacer 2, and large subunit ribosomal RNA". The stretch from base 1 to 119 matches the Rfam family "5.8S ribosomal RNA", at positions 35 to 154 of the family's 154-position model. The record is from RNAcentral.